This 481-nucleotide ribosomal RNA is filed under the name uncultured bacterium. RNAcentral describes it as "partial 16S ribosomal RNA". It matches the Rfam family "Bacterial small subunit ribosomal RNA", at positions 28 to 523 of the family's 1533-position model. The record is from RNAcentral.
GACGAACGCUGGCGGCGUGCCUAACACAUGCAAGUCGAACGGAGAUACGAUUUCGGUUGUAUCUUAGUGGCGAACGGGUGAGUAACGCGUGAACAACCUGACUCUUAGAGGGGGAUAACACUCGGAAACGGGUGCUAGUACCGCAUAAGACCACGACCCGGCAUCGGGAUGAGGUCAAAGGAGCAAUCCGCUGAGAGAGGGGUUCGCGUCCCAUUAGAUAGAUGGCGGGGUAACGGCCCACCAUGUCGACGAUGGGUAGCCGAGCUGAGAGGCUGAUCGGCCACACUGGAACUGAGACACGGUCCAGACUCCUACGGGAGGCAGCAGUGGGGAAUAUUGGGCAAUGGGCGCAAGCCUGACCCAGCAACGCCGCGUGAGGGAAGAAGGCUUUCGGGUCGUAAACCUCUGUCCUUGGUGACGAAACAAAUGACGGUAGCCAAGGAGGAAGCCCCGGCUAACUACGUGCCAGCCGCCGCAGUAA